This 29-nucleotide non-coding RNA is filed under the name Homo sapiens (human). The record is from RNAcentral. Lineage: Eukaryota; Metazoa; Chordata; Mammalia; Primates; Hominidae.
UGGAAGUAAAGAGGAAUGGUGAUUUGGGA